UACGUAGGGUGCAAGCGUUAAUCGGAAUUACUGGGCGUAAAGCGUGCGCAGGCGGUUAUGCAAGACAGAUGUGAAAGCCCCGGGCUCAACCUGGGAACUGCAUUUGAAACUGGCGGGCUUGAGUGUGGCAGAGGGGGGUGGAAUUCCGCGUGUAGCAGUGAAAUGCGUAGAGAUGCGGAGGAACACCGAUGGCGAAGGCAGCCCCCUGGGCCAACACUGACGCUCAGGCACGAAAGCGUGGGGAGCAAACAGG
Molecule: ribosomal RNA, 253 nt
Filed under: uncultured bacterium
Lineage: Bacteria
Description: partial 16S ribosomal RNA
Rfam family: Bacterial small subunit ribosomal RNA
Source: RNAcentral